This 484-nucleotide long non-coding RNA is filed under the name Bos taurus (domestic cattle). Its description in RNAcentral is "long non-coding RNA NONBTAT024682". Lineage: Eukaryota; Metazoa; Chordata; Mammalia; Artiodactyla; Bovidae. The record is from RNAcentral.
UUUUUCCCCAGAGUAUUUUUAUUAGGGAUUCCUGCCACCAUAUUAACAUAUAAAACAAUCUGGAUGUUGACACAUAAAUGCAAAUUUCACUGUACAAAGAUAAGGCUCCAACCAUAGGUAACGUGGCCCCCAGAUCUCUAGUUUUUCAGUGAAAUCAAUCAUUUUGACUUCUUCCCAGAGUUGUCUUUAUAUUAGACAAACCACAAAAUAUGUUCCAGAUACAUAACAUUUUACAAUAUGUUCCAAGCACAGACAGAAAUACACAAUACUUCACCUACAUUUUUUUCAUAUCCAACUUGCAUUAGCACUAAAGAUUGUGUGUGUAUAUGUAUUUGCCAUAUGUGUGUGUAUAUAAAACCACAAAUGUACACACAGUAAUUUUCAUGGAAAAUUGAAACCUUUGAGACUGUGGGUUUUAUCCACUAUGUUAUCAGAGAGGGAAAAUGAAUAAUACCAUGUCACAAAUUCCUCAAUUGGGGAUAAA